GACGAACGCUGGCGGCGUGCCUAAUACAUGCAAGUCGAGCGGAUGUUCUCCUUCGGGGGAAUGUUAGCGGCGGACGGGUGAGUAACACGUGGGCAACCUGCCCGUAAGAUCGGGAUAACUACCGGAAACGAUAGCUAAUACCGGAUAGAUGGAAGGAAGGCAUCUUCUUUCUUGGAAAGGCGGAGCAAUCUGCCACUUACGGAUGGGCCCGCGGCGCAUUAGCUAGUAGGUGAGGUAACGGCUCACCUAGGCGACGAUGCGUAGCCGACCUGAGAGGGUGAUCGGCCACACUGGGACUGAGACACGGCCCAGACUCCUACGGGAGGCAG
This 329-nucleotide ribosomal RNA is filed under the name uncultured Bacillota bacterium. RNAcentral's name for it is "bacterial SSU rRNA". It matches the Rfam family "Bacterial small subunit ribosomal RNA", at positions 28 to 351 of the family's 1533-position model. The record is from RNAcentral. Lineage: Bacteria; Bacillati; Bacillota.